RNAcentral lists this ribosomal RNA (429 nucleotides) under Bacillota bacterium. Its description in RNAcentral is "Firmicutes bacterium partial 16S ribosomal RNA". It matches the Rfam family "Bacterial small subunit ribosomal RNA", at positions 355 to 776 of the family's 1533-position model. Lineage: Bacteria; Bacillati; Bacillota. The record is from RNAcentral.
UAGGGAAUCUUCGGCAAUGGACGGAAGUCUGACCGAGCAACGCCGCGUGAGUGAAGAAGGUUUUCGGAUCGUAAAGCUCUGUUGUUAGAGAAGAACGUUGGUAGGAGUGGAAAAUCUACCAAGUGACGGUAACUAACCAGAAAGGGACGGCUAACUACGUGCCAGCAGCCGCGGUAAUACGUAGGUCCCGAGCGUUGUCCGGAUUUAUUGGGCGUAAAGCGAACGCAGGCGGUUCUUUAAGUCUGAAGUUAAAGGCAGUGGCUUAACCAUUGUACGCUAUGGAAACUGGAGGGCUUGAGUGCAGAAGGGGAGAGUGGAAUUCCAUGUGUAGCGGUAAAAUGCGUAGAUAUAUGGAGGAACACCGGUGGCGAAAGCGGCUAUCUAGUCUGUAACUAACGCUAAAGCUCGAAAACGUGGGGAGCGGACAGG